Molecule: ribosomal RNA, 429 nt
Filed under: Bacteroidota bacterium
Lineage: Bacteria; Pseudomonadati; Bacteroidota
Description: Bacteroidetes bacterium partial 16S ribosomal RNA
Rfam family: Bacterial small subunit ribosomal RNA
Source: RNAcentral
UAGGGAAUCUUCCGCAAUGGACGCAAGUCUGACGGAGCAACGCCGCGUGAGUGAAGAAGGAUUUCGGUUCGUAAAACUCUGUUGUUAGAGAAGAACAGCGCAUCGAGUAACUGGUAUGCGUGUGACGGUAUCUAACCAGAAAGCCACGGCUAACUACGUGCCAGCAGCCGCGGUAAUACGUAGGUGGCAAGCGUUGUCCGGAUUUAGUGGGCGUAAAGCGAGCGCAGGCGGUCAAUCAAGUCAGAUGUGAAACCCCCUGGCUCAACUGGGGGGGGGCAUAGGAAACUGGUUUGCUUGAGUGCAGAAGAGGAGAGCGGAAUUCCAUGUGUAGCGGUGAAAUGCGUAGAUAUAAGGAGGAACACCAGUGGCGAAGGCGACUUUCUGGACUGUAACUGACGCUGAGGCACGAAAGCGUGGGUAGCAAACAGG